RNAcentral lists this ribosomal RNA (530 nucleotides) under uncultured delta proteobacterium. RNAcentral describes it as "bacterial SSU rRNA". It matches the Rfam family "Bacterial small subunit ribosomal RNA", at positions 10 to 524 of the family's 1533-position model. The record is from RNAcentral. Lineage: Bacteria; Deltaproteobacteria.
AGUUUGAUUCUGGCUCAGAACAAACGCUGGCGGCGUGCCUAACACAUGCAAGUCGUACGGAAAGGGUCCUUCGGGACCUGAGUAAAGUGGCGCACGGGUGAGUAACGCGUGGAUAAUCGCCCUUCAGUUGGGAAUAACUCAUCGAAAGGUGGGCUAAUACCGAAUGAUACUGCGAGAUUUGGUCGAGCAGUCAAAGAGAGCCUCUGCUUGCAAGCCCUCGCUGAAGGAUGAGUCCGGUACCAUUAGCUAGUUGGUAGGGUAAUGGCCUACCAAGGCGACGAUGGUUAGCUGGUCUAGAGGAUGAUCAGCCACACUGGAACUGAGACACGGUCCAGACUCCUACGGGAGGCAGCAUGAGGAAUCUUGCGCAAUGGGGGCAACCCUGACGCAGCAACGCCGCGUGAGUGAGGAAGUCUUCGGAUCGUAAAGCUCUGUCAGAUGGAAAGAACCGCAUGGGGAUAAAUAGUCCUCGGUCUGACGGUACCAUCAGAGGAAGCACCGGCUAACUCCGUGCCAGCAGCCGCGGUAAU